GGGAAACUGGGUAUAAUACCCGAUAGAUCUCGAUUGCUGGAAUGCAUCGAGCUUGAAAGCUCCGGCGCCUAAGGAUGGGUCUGCGGCCUAUCAGGUAGUAGUGGGUGUAGGGUACCUAUUAGCCUACGACGGGUACGGGUUGUGAGAGCAAGAGCCCGAAGAUGGAUUCUGAGACACGAAUCCAGGCCCUACGGGGUGCAGCAGGCGCGAAAACUUUACAAUGCUGGAAACAGCGAUAAGGGGACCUCGAGUGCCAGGUUACAAAUCUGGCUGUCGUGAUGCCUGAAAAGCAUUGCAUAGCAAGGGCCGGGCAAGACCGGUGCCAGCCGCCGCGGUAACACCGGCGGCUCGAGUGGUAACCGUUAUUAUUGGGUCUAAAGGGUCUGUAGCCGGCCGGAUAAGUCUCUUGGGAAAUCUGGCAGCUUAACUGUCAGGCUUUCAGGAGAUACUGUCUGGCUCGAGGCCGGGAGAGGUGAGAGGUACUUCAGGGGUAGGGGUGAAAUCUUGUAAUCCUUGAAGGACCACCAGUGGCGAAGGCGUCUCACCAGAACGGACCUGACGGCAAGGGACGAAAGCUAGGGGCACGAACCGGAUUAGAUACCCGGGUAGUCCUAGCCGUAAACGAUACUCGCUAGGUGUCGGCAACGGUGCGACCGUUGUCGGUGCCGUAGGGAAGCCGUGAAGCGAGCCACCUGGGAAGUACGGCCGCAAGGCUGAAACUUAA
Molecule: ribosomal RNA, 724 nt
Filed under: uncultured Methanotrichaceae archaeon
Lineage: Archaea; Methanobacteriati; Methanobacteriota; Methanomicrobia; Methanotrichales; Methanotrichaceae
Description: SSU rRNA
Rfam family: Archaeal small subunit ribosomal RNA
Source: RNAcentral